AUCAACGCUGGCGGCGUGCCUCAGACAUGCAAGUCGAACGAUUAAAGCUCUCUUCGGAGAGUGUAUAGAGUGGCGCACGGGUGAGUAACACGUAAGUAAUCUACCUUUGAGUGGGGAAUAACCCGGGGAAACCCGAGCUAAUACCGCAUAAUGCAGCGGCACCGCAAGGUGACAGUUGUUAAAGGAGCAAUCCGCUUAAAGAGGAGCUUGCGGCAGAUUAGCUAGNGGUAAGGUAAUGGCUUACCAAGGCUUCGAUCUGUAUCCGGCCUGAGAGGGCGGUCGGACACACUGACACUGAAUAACGGGUCAGACUCCUACGGGAGGCAGCAGUCGGGAAUUUUGGGCAAUGGGCGAAAGACCUGACCCAGCAACGCCGCGUGAAGGAUGAAGUAUUUCGGUAUAGUAAACUU
RNAcentral lists this ribosomal RNA (410 nucleotides) under uncultured bacterium. Its description in RNAcentral is "bacterial SSU rRNA". It matches the Rfam family "Bacterial small subunit ribosomal RNA", at positions 32 to 432 of the family's 1533-position model. The record is from RNAcentral.